Long non-coding RNA from Poecilia latipinna (sailfin molly), 3858 nucleotides. RefSeq lists it as uncharacterized. The record is from RefSeq and is a predicted model, not a curated record. NCBI's taxonomy places the organism in Eukaryota, Metazoa, Chordata, Actinopteri, Cyprinodontiformes, Poeciliidae. The transcript has 2 exons.
AUCAAGUCAAUGAUUUUAAAAGUUUUUUUUAGGUUUUUUUUAAUCCUACCCUGUGUGAAAAGGUCAAUACCCGAAAUUCAAGUUGUUCUUUUUCUUUUCGUCUUUUAAAACAAGAAUUGAGAUUUGAAUUUGGAAAUUGUGGAGUUUUUAGACGGGAAAUGUGUAGGAACCCUUAUAAUGUGUUUCGUCAUCUGAUCUCUAUUUUUUUUUUUUUUUUUUUUACAUGGUUUGCAGCUUUCAGGGGUCGAGCAAUACCUGGGAAAUAAUCAGCAGGAAAUUUCACCUUUGCAUCCAUGAUCUGUGAAUGUUGAAUGUUAUUUUUUUCCUUUGCUUUUUUUUUUUUUUUUUUUUUUGAGCACCACAUUUUUAUGGUUUGCUAUUGCGUGAAAUAUGUUAAGUUUUUCUUUUAGGAAACUACUUUUUCUUUUUAUUACCAUUAUUUCCUGAUUUGUGUGAAAAAAACCACUUCAUCCUUUAUUGGUGUGCGCUGAUGGAUUUAACCUGCAUCUAUUCGUUGCUCCUUCUGCCAAAGCAGAUGGGUCCUUCGCAACUCUUCCACGUAAAUAUUUAUUCUUUUUUUUUUUUUUUUUUUUGCUAUUUUACUACUCUUGUUUAAUUUUGUUUGCUAUGUUACUAGUGAUAAGGAACAGAUAUUUGCACAUUUACCUUCUCCUCGUGGCAGCUGAGUAAUAAAGAGAGAAAUUCGACAUAAAACCUCAUAUUUGUGUUAAACUUUAAACUGUGCCAGCAAUUUUUUAUUUUUGAUUUUCAGUGAAGUAAGUAAUAAGACUUUACUAUUAUUGUUUUGCAACCGGAGGGUGAUUGAAUUUUUAUUUUUUUCUGAUCUAAUUUGGAUUUUUUAUUAUUAUUAUUAUUAUUUUUCAGAAUUCCAAUCGGUGUGGCUUAGAUUUUGUUUGGGAUCUAAAAAUCACCUCGAUUAUUCCUCUUUAUUUCUACUUUUGUUCGAUUCUUUUUGCUUCAAUGUUUACAUGAAACUGUGCGCGGUCAUGCUAGCAGCCUUUAAAAGCAGAGUCCAGUCAAGAGAGAGAUCUGGAAAAAGAUGACUCGCGCUCUCUUUUCAGCAACGGGUGCAUAAAUCCAAACACACUUCCUCGGCCCUCGACGACGUGCGGUUGUGAGCGAGAGCCGGGGCGCUUUGUUUUCGUCGGGUUCCUUUGAAAUCAAACACACAUUCACAUCGACACGUCGGGUGUCUCCCGCAGCAGCAGCAUUAACUUGUGUUUUUGAGAUUUUUUUUUUUUUUCGGAGGACGGCGAGAAGAUUCUGAUUUUUGAGUCGCUUCUUUUUAACAGACGGAGCUUAGCGUUGCCUCCGAGCGUCAGAUUAGAUGACGGCGAAAACAACGUUCUGCUGUAGGUGGAAACAAAAAGGCUUACAUGACAAUGUUUUAUAUGAAUGUUUUGACUGUAUGUGGGUUUUUUUUUGUUGUUUUUUUUUUAAUAAAACUGUUGAAUUUCCUAAAGAAGAUCUCGAUCUUUGCUUGACAUUCCAGGAUUUUUCAAGCUGAAAUGUGUGUGUGAACCCAGCUGAAGCUCGAAGGAGCACCGCUGAGGUUGACUCAUCUGUUGCUUCUACAAUUGAAAAUCCACCGGAGUGCUGGAAGAAAAGUAACCAAAAAAAAAACACUGGGUCUGUCAAUUUUUCUGACGCGAACGGAUAAACUUGAAUGUACUCUUUGUAGCAGCGUUAAUGCUCUGAAAGCAGAGGGUGAGUCAGCCGAGGAAUAAACAAGGUUACGCUGUGACGCACUUUGAGCCGCCACGCCUACCAGUAGCAGAGCUGGGAGAUGAUUGGAAUUAGCGUGGAUUCAUACAUGAAGAAAGGUCAGAGUGAGGAUCUGUCUGGAGGAACACGUCACUAGAAAGGCUGACCUUUCGUUCCAAAAGGAGGAGUUUUUAAUGUUACUUACAAAUGCAGCAGAUGUUGAACAUUUGGCAAAUUAUUCUUUUUUUUUUUAAUGAAUUCAGUUGCAGAAAAUGGUGAUUUUUCAGACUUAACAUUGUGACCAGCUCACACUGACUCAUUCCUGGUAUGAUCGUCUUAUUAAAAUAGGGCUUUCAGUGAUGAAUUUGAACAUUUCAUUUUCCAUAAAUACAUGUACAACAAACAACACUGCUUGGGAGCGCCCCAGUUCAUCUGUCUGUAACAUUUCCUGCAUUUCAUCUGAACAUGCUGCAAAGUGCCUGAGAUUCCCUCAAAGCAGGGCUGUUGCAAAUUAAGCUGAUUACCCAAACAACCAACCUCCAAGCUUGAGGAAAUAAAACAGCAGGCCAAACACGCUCCACCGAGAGAGAAGACACCAGACACGGAGCGGUUGUGUUACAUUUAUUAACGCAAUGACAACAAUUUGAGCGUCAAGAUUUCAUAACAGGAACAUCUGAGUGUCUUUACAGCAAGAAGUGUUUCUCAACGACACGUAACGAACCCCAAAGAUAAAUACGACCAUAUCGAAGCUACGAGGAGGAACAACUUACACACGUUAUCAUUAUCGAUAGUGAGCUGGAGGAUCACAAGCAUGUCAAACACAGUCAAUACUCAACAAUACCUAAGUGCAUUUACAUUGUGCUUCAGUGUCAGUGUGGGUACCUGCCUGCUCUAACCUGUGCUUCACUUUGUCUUUUUGUUGUUGUUGUUGUUGUUGUUCACAAACACUAAACACACAAUGAGACGUAGUGCAGGAACCGACGGCUGCACUUACAUUUUUUUUUUUCCUUUUUUUUUUUUUUUUUGCACAGGACAGCAGGCAGAAAACCCCCAAACAGUGUACGUUCAUGACUGCAGCAAUGUCUCACACCCAGCAAAAAUAUCCGUCUGGGGAUGACGAAGAAGAGGAUUUCACUUCGCCAGAGAAUUGGCAUAUUUCCUUCCAAAUGUUCUCAUGAAAACAUGCAUUCAAGACUUUCAUAUCGCAGCAAAUCUCUGCGAUGCUUCCCUAAAGAGGAACGAGACGAAGCACAUUGUCAAAGAAAAUGUGACAAAAAAAAAAAAAAAACGACCGAUAAAACCUGGCAAGUAUCACAAUGUCUCACUGGUUAGAAAGGACAAGAGGAACAAUUGCUGAAUUGGACGUUAUCGACUUGUUUCAUAUGAAAAAAAAAUAUAUAUAUAAGGCAUUAAAAAUAUGUUCUAUCUAAAUUUUACCACACUGCAUCUGAUACUUAUGAGUGGAAUACAUCAAAUCACACUUUUCUUUUUCUUUUUAGAUGUUGGAGCUAUAAACGUGCGUUUUCUCUGUCAAAGUUUGAAUCUUCAUGGUUAAAUCUCACAAAAGGUAAAAGUAUUUCCGUUUUAUACAUCACUUUGCAGUCACUCCUGCUCCUCUUGAAUAAGAUGUAAUUACCUAAUUCUGAUGGAGGUUAACAUAUUGUCGUCAACCACAAUCAACUCAUGUCAAACCCAGAUGAGACGAAGAUGAGCUGACAAGUUUGGGCAACGCACUUUUUUGAAUAAAGUCUCAUCUCUCAUAAAUUGUGUGAAAUAUUUUGGAAGAAACUGAUUUACAUUUUUUAAAAGAAAAUCACUGGUGAAAUUUCUGAAACAGGAUGAAUUAGCAGGAGUUUUCUACCUAGACCACAUAUUUCACACUGGUUAUCUGUACAUACGAAAAGAUAAAUAAAAAGAAUAAAACAUUUUUUUUUAUUGCAGCAGCAUUGAUUACAUUGACUGAUUUGAAAUGAGCAUCGAGCCAUAUAAUGUCUGUAUUUUUUAAAAUAAGGGUCUGUCUUUCAGUUGAACAGCAUUUUCUCCUGUUUUUUAUUGGGACUCUGUCGCAUUUUAUUUGUAGCCCAUUUAAACAACAUGUCAUGGAUUAUUCAUUAAAAGUAGAGAAUAAAUUGU